This 655-nucleotide ribosomal RNA is filed under the name Porphyromonas cangingivalis. RNAcentral's name for it is "bacterial SSU rRNA". It matches the Rfam family "Bacterial small subunit ribosomal RNA", at positions 1 to 638 of the family's 1533-position model. Lineage: Bacteria; Pseudomonadati; Bacteroidota; Bacteroidia; Bacteroidales; Porphyromonadaceae. The record is from RNAcentral.
ACUCACGCAGUCAUUGAUCGUGGCUCAGGAUGAACGCUAGCGAUAGGCUUUACACAUGCAAGUCGAGGGGCAUCACGGGAUUAGCUUGCUAAUCUUGGUGGCGACCGGCGUAAGGGUGCGUAACGCGUAUGCAACUUGCCUGUCAGUGGGGAAUAACCCGGAGAAAUCCGGACUAAUACCGCAUACACUUUAGUUUCCGCAUGGGGACUUUAGGAAAGAUUUAUUGCUGACAGAUAGGCAUGCGUUCCAUUAGAUAGUUGGUGAGGUAACGGCUCACCAAGUCGACGAUGGAUAGGGGAGCUGAGAGGCUUAUCCCCCACACUGGAAUCUGAGACACGGUCCAAGACUCCAUACGGGAGGGCAGCAGUGAGGGAAUAUUGGGUCAAUGGGCGAGAGCCUGAACCAGCCAAGUCGCGUGAAGGAAGACGGUCCUAUGGAUUGUAAACUUCUUUAGUAGGUGAGUACAAGCAGUUACGUGUAGCUGUAAGCAAGUAACCUAAGAAUAAGUAUCGGCUAACUCCGUGCCAGCAGCCGCGGUAAUACGGAGGAUACGAGCGUUAUCCGGAUUUAUUGGGUUUAAAGGGUGCGUAGGUGGCUUUAUAAGUCAGUGGUGAAAAGCUGUGGCUCAACCAUAGUCUUGCCGUUGAAACUGUGG